UUACCUGGGCUCGAACGUAAGAUGACUGUAGGUGAAAGCUUACAUCUCUUCGGAGCAUUUUACGGAGGUGCUGCAGUGGUUGUCGUCAGCUCGUGCCGUGAGGUGCGGGUUAAGUCCCAUAACGAGCGCAACCCCUACCUUUAGUUGCCAUCAGGUAAUGCUGGGGACUCUAAAGGAACUGCCUACGCAAGUAGUGAGGAAGGUGGGGAUGACGUCAAAUCAGCACGGCCCUUACGUCCAGGGCGACACACGUGCUACAAUGGCCGGCACAACGGGAAGCGAGUUCGCGAGGACGAGCGGAUCCCUCAAAGCCGGUCGCAGUUCGGAUUGAAGUCUGCAACCCGACUUCAUGAAGCUGGAAUCGCUAGUAAUCGUGGAUCAGCCAAGCCGCGGUGAAUACGUUCCCGGGCCUU
This 413-nucleotide ribosomal RNA is filed under the name uncultured Sphingobacteriales bacterium. RNAcentral's name for it is "bacterial SSU rRNA". It matches the Rfam family "Bacterial small subunit ribosomal RNA", at positions 971 to 1382 of the family's 1533-position model. The record is from RNAcentral. Lineage: Bacteria; Pseudomonadati; Bacteroidota; Sphingobacteriia; Sphingobacteriales.